GAGGAAAGAUGGAGGCGUGCCUAAUACAUGCAAGUCGAGCGAACAGACGAGGAGCUUGCUCCUCUGACGUUAGCGGCGGACGGGUGAGUAACACGUGGAUAACCUACCUAUAAGACUGUGAUAACUUCGGGAAACCGGAGCUAAUACCGGAUAAUAUAUUGAACCGCAUGGUUCAAUAGUGAAAGACGGUUUUGCUGUCACUUAUAGAUGGAUCCGCGCCGCAUUAGCUAGUUGGUAAGGUAACGGCUUACCAAGGCGACGAUGCGUAGCCGACCUGAGAGGGUGAUCGGCCACACUGGAACUGAGACACGGUCCAGACUCCUACGGGAGGCAGCAGUAGGGAAUCUUCCGCAAUGGGCGAAAGCCUGACGGAGCAACGCCGCGUGAGUGAUGAAGGUCUUCGGAUCGUAAAACUCUGUUAUUAGGGAAGAACAAAUGUGUAAGUAACUAUGCACGUCUUGACGGUACCGAAUCAGAAAGCCACGGCUAACUACGUG
This 497-nucleotide ribosomal RNA is filed under the name uncultured bacterium. RNAcentral's name for it is "partial 16S ribosomal RNA". It matches the Rfam family "Bacterial small subunit ribosomal RNA", at positions 28 to 507 of the family's 1533-position model. The record is from RNAcentral.